Molecule: RNA transcript, 1835 nt
Organism: Xenia sp. Carnegie-2017
Lineage: Eukaryota; Metazoa; Cnidaria; Anthozoa; Malacalcyonacea; Xeniidae
Exons: 3
Source: RefSeq, a predicted model, not a curated record
AAGGACGGAAGUCGAAGUAUGAGCAUUGAUUUACUAGUAUUUUGUUAGAUUUUUAACACAUAUACACAAUAAAAUAUGAGUUCUUCAAGCAGUGAAAGCGAACGCAGUUCGGAUACUGAAAACUCAGAUAUGGCAAAUGAAAAUUUACUUUCAAAUUCCGGCGAUGAGGAUACAAUUGUGGCUAAUUCAGUGGUAAAUCCUUACGAAAAUGAACCUCUUGCGAACGCAGUCGGAGAGAAUUUUGUGUCGGUCGAAGAAGACGCAGAUGGCUUAGAACUUCGAACAUUGGAAGCGAGGUUCGAAGGAACCUUUCAGUUAGAUAAGUGGUAAGUUGAUAAAUGUUACUAGAACUCUAGAAGAAAUUAAACCAUGAAUUAAACAUGUUAUUUUGUCCUUAUGUCGUGGUGCAUAAAUAUGAUAACAAACCACUUUUUUAUAGGUGUGCAUGUAGCUUGGGUCGUACUCAACUGCUGACAGAUGCCAUUGAAUACCGUUGUUGUCAAUAGGUUGGGCCUACUUUACAUAAACUGGUAUUCGAUGUUAGCAUUGAAAAAAUUAGCUAUGUUACUCUUCACGACGAGUACACGAUUAUGACACAUGCUACAGUCUUGAAGAAUGUUGGAAGAAUGUUGGCUCACUUCUAAGAGACCAAGAUGGAAGGUCAUACAAGCGUAUGACCAAGAAUACAUGAAAAUGAAAUGCACUGGCCAUACCUAUUAUGCAUGGUAGCAUGAACAACUUACAUGUGGGAAACAAUGGUGUUGAAGAUAGUUGUUUCCUAUCCAAAUGCCGUUGGAUUGCCUCAGUUUUGGAAAUUCGAUCCGAGAAAGUUUUGUUUAAGGCUUCUGGGACUUUUUCCUUAUACUUCUUAAAUAUGUUGUCCAUGGAUUCCUCACAACUAAGAACCUUGACAUUUUUGAUUUCAUUAACAUAGUCUGGAAAAAUGACAAGUGGUUAGAUGUGUAAGUCAAGAGUACCAAUGCAUACAUGCUAAAUUUACAAUAUGAUGGUGCUGAAGAAACAGUUCUUACUACUUCAUCCCCUGAUUUAAAUUUUGGGAACAAGUAAAAAAGGCUUGGCAGAUAGAGAACAGUGAUUACAAGUUACCUGCAAUAUGUACCAAGCCAAGAAAAGUGGGUCAUCUUUGGAUGCCAACCAUUUAAUGUUGAAUGAAAACCUUUGAGACAACUAGUUUGUGCUUCUGAAGAUAGUUUUUUAACAUCUUUGAGAACAGAUUUUUUCAACAGAAUGGAGGAAAGUCGCCGAUAUGUUCCUUAAAAAGAAUACAAUCCCAUCUGAAAAGUGGUAAAUAACAUUUUAGACAUUUUAACAAUCUCAAUUCUGUCUUGCUGCCUAAAUGUGUGCAUGCUCAUACCAACUUGAAGCCAUAGACGUUCAUCUAGCUCUCCAUGAGCACAUUUAGGAAACAACUCAUCUGGAUGGUUUUCAUGCUUGUUUGUAAUGUGCCUAGCAAUGGAUUUCCAUUUCGCAAUCGUCGUCUCAUGUUUAGCGAUUUUGCAACUGUUGCGUUCAAGGUGAAUGCAGAAUCUGCGAAAUGCAUUGAACAUAGCACAGAGUACUGCUGAGGAACGAAUUUUGGCCUAUGUCUCCUAACAAAUUUCGUCCAUUUAUUCAGCCUCUCCUUGUCAUUCAUGGGAAACGAUGUACUGCGACACCCUCUGUGUGUUGACUGUUUGUACAACUUUUCCGUUGGGCCAACCAGCAACACAAUAUUGUCCUCCUCGACGAUUUUUGCAGAAUUUUGCCUACUCGCCAUAUUUUAACUUGCGGUGUAUCGUUACGUUUGACUAACUUAAUAAAAAUUAUUCUCCUUA